Molecule: long non-coding RNA, 908 nt
Filed under: Danio rerio (zebrafish)
Lineage: Eukaryota; Metazoa; Chordata; Actinopteri; Cypriniformes; Danionidae
Description: lncRNA (ENSDARG00000117597.1)
Source: RNAcentral
CAGCAGCCUCUGCCACAACAAACCCUCCAUCAACUGUGUCUCCAACAUCAGCUGCUUCAACAUCUCAUCCCAGUACAAGCUCUUCUACAACUGAGUCUCAAACAGCAGAACCUACAAGUAAGUAAUGAUAUUAUAAUUUAUGUAUAUAAUUUUAAUAAUCAGCAGUUCGGGUGUUUCAAAUCACCUUCUGAGCAAUCAAGUAUUAGUAUCUGCAAUAAUAAGAAAUAUGUUCCUGUCAUGAUGUCCCAGCAGUUUCUGCUACAACAAACUCUCCAUCAACUGUGUCUCCAACAUCAGCUCCUUUAAGUGAGUUUUUUUUUAAAUUCAUAGAUUAUUGUGUGAACAUUUCAAUAAAAAAAUGAUAAUUAUAGGUCCAACUUAAUUAGAGGUGGUGGAAUUUUGCUGUGUUUGUUUUCUAUUAUAACAUAUUUUUGUAUGUUAGGGCUCUACUCAUUAUUAACUUCUGUGAUGAUUUUAUGCAAAAUGGUUUAAAUGGUUUAAUGGUUUUUAAUGGUUUAAUGUUUUUUUUUAAUACUUCUACAUUUUAUUAGCACCCCCUGCCAGUACAAGCUCCUCUACAACUGAAUCUCAAACAGCAGAACCUACAAGUAAGUAUUGCAUAUGUGCAGUUGUCAAAAAAAGAUUUAUUUUAUCUUUGCCAUUAUGACAGUAAAUAAUAUUUGACUAGAUAUUUUUCGAGACACUUCUAUACAACUUAAAGUGACAUUCAAAGGCUUAACUAGGUUAAUUAGUUUAACUAGGCAGGUUAGGGUAAUUAGACAAGUUAUUGUGUAAUGAUGGUUUGUCUGUAGACUAUCGAGAAAAAAAUAUAGCUUAAAGUUGCUAAUAAUUUUGUCCCUGAAAUAGUUUUAAAAAUUUUUUUAUCCUAUUCUUUUAUUCGAGCCAAA